RNAcentral lists this long non-coding RNA (872 nucleotides) under Helianthus annuus (common sunflower). RNAcentral's name for it is "sRNA HanXRQr2_Chr11g0485471". The record is from RNAcentral. Lineage: Eukaryota; Viridiplantae; Streptophyta; Magnoliopsida; Asterales; Asteraceae.
UUUUUAGCUGCUUCAUUAUAACAAGUAGGUUCACGCACUUUAUUUAAAGCAGCAACAAAACAUUUAUUAUCAUAAGACAAAUGAGCAUAACUAACAACUUUUUCUAUGCCAUACUUUACUUUCCCUUCAACCACAAAUUCAUCAAAUCUUUUAGGCAUAGACACAUUCCUAGAAGACUUUCUAACACUAACACCCUCAGAUUGGUUAGUUUCAACAUUUAAUCCUGUAAUGUGAUCUGCCAUCACAUCUGCAUCCAAUCCACUACUGCCUUCCUGUUCAGACUGUUGAACAGGGACUGAUGUAGAGGGAGGCAAAGGUUGCUGACCUUCAUUAGCAGGAUCAUGUGAACCAUUUGCACCCUCUUCAUCAUUGGGUAUGUUAGAAACUUCAGACAAAAUGUUAUCAAAAAAGUUUGCAUGAUUCAACUGUUUAUUAUACACAGACUCUUGGUUAUCAAAAUUUUUAAUUUGAAAUGGGAAAACAUUUUCAUAAAAUUUUACAUCUCUUGAAAAAAACACCUUUUUAGAAUCUAAACUCCACAGUUUAUACCCCUUUUUAAAAUUAGAAUAACCAAUCAAUACACACUUUUCAGCAUUAGAAGAAAACUUGUCUGAAUCAUGCAAUACAGUACUAAAACAUAAACAUCCAAAGUUUCUAAGAUGUAACAAAGAGGGUUUAAACUCAAACAUCAUUUCAUAGGGACUCCUACCAUUUAGCACAUAAGAAGGCAACCUGUUAAUAAGAUAAACUGCAGUCAAAACACAAUCUGACCAAAACCUAAGAGGCAGACUACCCUGAAACAUCAAAGCUCUAGCAGUAUUCAACAAAUGUCUAUAAUUGCCAACAAAAUAUAGACCACCAUCUUGUCUACC